This 134-nucleotide small nucleolar RNA is filed under the name Vombatus ursinus (common wombat). Lineage: Eukaryota; Metazoa; Chordata; Mammalia; Diprotodontia; Vombatidae. The record is from RNAcentral.
CCGCAUUGUUAAGUGACCCACUGGCCUUCCCUGUGGCCAGCUGGGCCUCAUCACAGUGCAAGAGGAAUUCCCCUCCCUACCAAAGGGCCAGGCCUGCUUUUUUAGACUGCCCUUUUUGGACUGGGGGCACAUCU